Molecule: small RNA, 280 nt
Filed under: marine eukaryotic metagenome
Description: 5' ureB small RNA
Rfam family: 5' ureB small RNA
Source: RNAcentral
CGAUCUGCUGCGGGCUGAUCCAAUGGAUAUGGGCGUCGAUCCCGCCUGCGGUGAGAAUGCGCCCUUCACCCGCAAUCGCCUCGGUGCCAGGGCCGACGAUGAUGUCGACAUCCGGUUGCACGUCGGGAUUGCCGGCUUUGCCGAUGGCCGAGAUACGCCCGUCGACGAUACCGACAUCCGCCUUGAUGAUGCCCCAGUGAUCGACAAUCAGCGCAUUGGUGAUGACGGUAUCGACGGCGCCGUCGGCGCGGCUGACUUGCGACUGCCCCAUACCGUCGCG